This 253-nucleotide ribosomal RNA is filed under the name uncultured bacterium. RNAcentral describes it as "partial 16S ribosomal RNA". It matches the Rfam family "Bacterial small subunit ribosomal RNA", at positions 524 to 776 of the family's 1533-position model. The record is from RNAcentral.
UACGUAGGGCGCAAGCGUUGUCCGGAAUUAUUGGGCGUAAAGAGCUCGUAGGCGGUCUGUCACGUCGGCUGUGAAAUCCCGAGGCUCAACCUCGGGUCUGCAGUCGAUACGGGCAAACUAGAGUAUUGCAGGGGAGACUGGAAUUCCUGGUGUAGCGGUGAAAUGCGCAGAUAUCAGGAGGAACACCGGUGGCGAAGGCGGGUCUCUGGGCAAUAACUGACGCUGAGGAGCGAAAGCGUGGGGAGCGAACAGG